This 381-nucleotide ribosomal RNA is filed under the name uncultured bacterium. Its description in RNAcentral is "bacterial SSU rRNA". It matches the Rfam family "Bacterial small subunit ribosomal RNA", at positions 28 to 413 of the family's 1533-position model. The record is from RNAcentral.
GACGAACGCUGGCGGCGUGCUUAACACAUGCAAGUCGAGCGGUAAGGCCCUUUUGGGGGUACACGAGCGGCGAACGGGUGAGUAACACGUGGGUGACCUGCCCUCAGCUCUGGGAUAAGCCUGGGAAACUGGGUCUAAUACUGGAUAUGACCUUUCCUCGCAUGGGGUUGGGUGGAAAGUUUUUUCGGCUGGGGAUGGGCCCGCGGCCUAUCAGCUUGUUGGUGGGGUGAUGGCCUACCAAGGCGACGACGGGUAGCCGGCCUGAGAGGGCGACCGGCCACACUGGACUGAGACACGGCCCAGACUCCUACAGGAGGCAGCAGCGGGGAAUAUUGCGCAAUGGGCGGAAGCCUGACGCAGCGACGCCGCGUGGGGAUGACG